Long non-coding RNA from Canis lupus familiaris (dog), 592 nucleotides. RefSeq lists it as uncharacterized. The transcript is spliced from 5 exons. The record is from RefSeq and is a predicted model, not a curated record. NCBI's taxonomy places the organism in Eukaryota, Metazoa, Chordata, Mammalia, Carnivora, Canidae.
CUCGACGCUCCCCGGCGGCGCCGUCUGCCUGCGAUUGGCUCGCCCGGAGGAGGUUUUCCUUCCUUCUUUUCCUGUUUCCCCGCAAUAGAAACGGCCCCGGUGAUGUGGCGCUGACGUGGUCGGCGGCUCAGGUCCUGAACCACAACCCCAAGACCAAGGCCCAAGCUGAGAUCCAGAGUCAGAUGCUCAACUGACUGAGCCACCCAGCUGAAGAUCUCUGACAAGACACUUUCAUGAGAAGGAUAAGAAGGAAUUUCAGGCAACAAAACACGUGCUGUCUUCUACAGAAAGCAGGUAAAUGAGAAGAUGUGUUCACCCCUCUCAGCUUUGCAUUCCUGAAACAACGUAAUGGGAGAGAAAAGGAAUACGAUUGAAUGGGACAAUGGCUUGUUUGGAGCACCCCUGGGAAUGUACACUGGAAAAAGGUUGGAUCUAGUAUUGGAAAAGUCAAACAAGGGAUCUACACCUUGUAUUGCCCUCUUUGGAGAACUUCAGUGCUUGUGGGCCUCAGCUCCUUUCUGAGGAAUUUCCGGGGCAGCCCUGGUGGCUCAGCGGUUUAGUGCCACCUUCAGUCCAGGGCGCGAUCCUGGAG